This 327-nucleotide ribosomal RNA is filed under the name Methanoregulaceae archaeon. Its description in RNAcentral is "bacterial SSU rRNA". It matches the Rfam family "Archaeal small subunit ribosomal RNA", at positions 1 to 327 of the family's 1478-position model. The record is from RNAcentral. Lineage: Archaea; Methanobacteriati; Methanobacteriota; Methanomicrobia; Methanomicrobiales; Methanoregulaceae.
AUUAAUUCUGGUUGAUCCUGCCAGAGGCCACUGCUAUCAGAGUUCGAUUAAGCCAUGCGAGUCGAGAGGUGUAAGACCUCGGCAUACUGCUCAGUAACACGUGGACAACCUAACCUACGGAAGGGGAUAACCCCGGGAAACUGGGGAUAAUACCCUAUAGACUAUGGAUGCUGGAAUGCUCUGUAGCCGAAAGGUCAGCCGCCGUAGGAUGGGUCUGCGGCCGAUUAGGUUGUUGUUGGGGUAACGGCCCAACAAGCCUGUAAUCGGUACGGGUUGUGGGAGCAAGAGCCCGGAGAUGGAUUCUGAGACACGAAUCCAGGCCCUACG